Molecule: long non-coding RNA, 2445 nt
Organism: Falco peregrinus (peregrine falcon)
Lineage: Eukaryota; Metazoa; Chordata; Aves; Falconiformes; Falconidae
Exons: 2
Source: RefSeq, a predicted model, not a curated record
GCUGCAGAAAUGGAGUCAAGCCACUCCUUUACACGUUGCUUUCUCUUUUGGAAAAGCUUCUGCAGAAACGGUUCCAAGCCUCUGCACAGCCUGCACACAGACUGGAACUCCAGGACACGCCUCUCCCUCAGCGUUCCUCCCCAUCCGUCAGCUCGCGCUACAGUGCUCGCGUCCAGGGGAGUUCUGACCUCAGCGACACAGAUCAGGAAAAAAAGGUGCUGGAAAAAAUCAGCCAACUUUUGGAGACAGACUCCCUUACCAAGAUCCAAGAAUGGUUUGGAAGGGCAAGUAAACAAGGUAACAAAGAUACGCACCUGCAUCCCUUUCUGAGAAGCACGCGCUCUUGUACGUUCCCAUCAAACCCUGAAAUUCUAAUCGACCUGAGCUGAGCGGCGUUGCCGAGGUGGAAGGUAUCAGGUCCAGCAAAGUGCGCUGGGCCCAGCUGUGGCUGCGCUGAGCAGUCAGGUGACAGCAGACAGAAAGCAGUCACUUACACCUCAGCGCUCUCCGGUUUGGUGCGGGGCGGAAACACGCGCUCUCCCACUGGGGCUCUGGGCGGCUGGGGGCGGGCAGAAAGCAAACAAAAUGUCUCUCUCGUGUCUUUAAGCCCUUUGAAAACGUGGUAAGGGAACUCCUGAAUUCACCCCCAAACAUCCAGAUCAGCAGCAAGUGGGAAUUUGAACAAAAUUUCUGCUACCUUCACGUUUCAGAGAAAGACUUUGUGUUCAGUCUGGUGGAUUGAGAACUGACUGAGAAAGACGUGCUGAAAUCUGAGGAAGGUGCAGCAGAGAACAUCAACAGCCCGACUGCUGAAGCCUCUCCCCCCACAUCGGAGAAGCCUAGACGGGGAAAUGACUCCGGCCACGUAAAACCUGCAGGGAGGUUGCCACAAUGAUGGAUAAGCUAAACCCCACAACCAGAAAUUUUUGGGUUCUCCUGCUAUGGAAAAGGUAACUUUGUGAUUGAAGUUGAUCACGGCCAGCCUUCGGCAAAAAUGCUCCUAAGUACAAGCCACGCCAGGCGAUUUGAUACAAGUUUGAUACAAGUACCAAGUUUUAGCAGCACUGGAAACCCCUUGGAGAGCAACCUCCUUUUACAUUGCGGUGCACAGUUUAUACCUACAAAGACCACAGGGGACUGGACCAUCUCCCUUAUGAGGACAGGCUGACAGAGAUGCACCUGUGUAGCCUGGGGAAGAGUGAGAGGGCAUCUCCUCAGUGCAUAUAAAUAUCUUAAGGGCAAGUGUCAAGAGGAUGGGGCCAGGCUCUUUUCAGUGGUGCCCAGCGUCAGGACAAGGGGCGACGGGCGCCAACUGAAACACAGGAAAUUCCAUCCGAGUGUGAGGGAAAACGUCUUCACUUGGAGGGUGUCGGAGCCCUGGCACAGGCUGCCCAGAGAGGCUGUGCAGUCUUCCUUCCCUGGAGAUACUCAAACCCCACCUGGACGCGACCCUGUGCAACCCGCUCUAGGCAAACCGGCUUUAGCAGGGGGUUGCACGACAUGGCCUGCACAGGUCCCUUCCAACCCCAGCCGUUCUGUGAGCCUGUGACAUUCUGAGAUCUGCUCCUGUAAGUUACACGCAAGCUGCAACCCCCUCUGCCAGCAAACUAUGGCAUUCGCCCUCAUCUAACAUCUCGCCCUCGCUCUCUGCAGGCUACGUCAGGCUUUCUCAGACCGUUCCAGCUACCAAAGCCCACUCUUGCACCCUCUACCCAGUCAGGGCAAGCCAAAAAUAGUGGCGCUGCCAAGGAACGCCACUGUCACCUCUUUGUGCCCCUUCUGAAGCACACAGAGGCAACACAAGCCAGUCCCAGCGUACGUGAUCAUUUUAACAAAGCCACUCAUGCCAGCUCUGACGCUGCCAGCAUUUACUAUUGCUUGGAACUCAGCUGGAGGAGAGGGUGAAGAGUAAUCUUACCUAAGAACUAGAAGGAGGAAGAGGAAACCUCCAAAGCAAGCACCUCUGCUUUUCCACAGUGGUGCCCAGUGAGGCUUCUUUGCCAAAGAGCAGAUGUGCUUCUAUACUCUCAGCUGCGUACCGAACAAAGCCAAACGAGUCUAACAUCAUCCUAAGCCUAGCCUGGUAAUAUACAGCUUGCUUUUCCAAAAUGUCUUCCAGAAAGGGAGAAAGAACAUCUUUUGUUUGCAACGCUGAGAAAGAGAGGUCCAGCACAAGCAGACACGCUCUUCCCAGGGAAGAGCUACAGCUGAGAAAGUGUGGUGGAAACAAGAGGCCGUCCUGCCCUCACGCUCUACCAGAAAUCUCACCUGUACCACGGCUGCCCCCAAACCACGGAUAUCCCUUUUCCAGCAGAGGCCUCCCCUAUUCACAGCCGCUGCAGCAUCUCCCAGCCACCUUCACAUACAGAAAUAUGUGAUCUGAGCACUUAGAUUAUAAAGACAGGCGUUCAGACUUCCUAAUAAAACAAUUUGAUGUUCAUUGUA